This 494-nucleotide ribosomal RNA is filed under the name uncultured bacterium. RNAcentral describes it as "partial 16S ribosomal RNA". It matches the Rfam family "Bacterial small subunit ribosomal RNA", at positions 28 to 507 of the family's 1533-position model. The record is from RNAcentral.
GACGAACGCUGGCGGCGUGCUUAACACAUGCAAGUCGAACGGAAAGGCCUGCUUUCCCUUGUGGAUUGCGGGUACUCGAGUGGCGAACGGGUGAGUAACACGUGAGUGAUCUGCCCCCAACUUGGGUAUAAGCCUGGGAAACUGGGUCUAAUUCCCGAUAGGACUGCAGGGUGGUGCCUGUGGUGGAAAACGAUUUUCUAGUGGUUGGGGAUGAGCUCGCGGCCUAUCAGCUUGUUGGUGGGGUAAUGGCCUACCAAGGCGGCGACGGGUAGCCGGCCUGGGAGGGUGGACGGCCACAUUGGAACUGAGAUACGGCCCAGACUCCUACGGGAGGCAGCAGUGGGGAAUAUUGCACAAUGGGCGGAAGCCUGAUGCAGCGACGCCGCGUGGGGGAUGACGGCCUUCGGGUUGUAAACUCCUUUCGACCGCGAGGAAGCCACCUGGUUGGAAGGGUGGUGACGGUAGUGGUAGAAGAAGCACCGGCUAACUACGUG